This 305-nucleotide ribosomal RNA is filed under the name uncultured Planctomycetota bacterium. Its description in RNAcentral is "bacterial SSU rRNA". It matches the Rfam family "Bacterial small subunit ribosomal RNA", at positions 29 to 351 of the family's 1533-position model. The record is from RNAcentral. Lineage: Bacteria; Pseudomonadati; Planctomycetota.
AAUGAACGUUGGCAGCGUGGAUUAGGCAUGCAAGUCGAGCGACAAGGUCCUUCGGGACUGGAGGAGCGGCUAACGGGGUAGUAAUACAUCGGAACGUACCCUUUCGUCCGGGAUAGCCAUGGGAAACUAUGAGUAAUACCGGAUAAUCUCUGAGGAGAAAAGGUCCGCCGCGAAGGGAGCGGCCGAUGCGAGACUAGGUAGUUGGUGAGGUAAUGGCUCACCAAGCCCAAGAUCUCUAGGGGGGUGUGAGAGCAUGGCCCCCACCACUGGAACUGAGACACUGUCCAGACACCUACGGGUGGCUG